AGAGUUUGACCCUGGCUCAGGAUGAACGCUGGCGGCGUGCCUAACACAUGCAAGUCGAGCGAAGCGCUUGAAUACGAUUCUUCGGAUGAAGAUUCUUGUGACUGAGCGGCGGACGGGUGAGUAACGCGUGGGCAACCUGCCUUACACAGGGGGAUAACAGUUAGAAAUGACUGCUAAUACCGCAUAAGACCACGAAACUGCACGGUUUUGUGGUAAAAACUCCGGUGGUGUAAGAUGGGCCCGCGUCUGAUUAGGUAGUUGGCGGGGUAACGGCCCACCAAGCCGACGAUCAGUAGCCGACCUGAGAGGGUGACCGGCCACAUUGGGACUGAGACACGGCCCAGACUCCUACGGGAGGCAGCAGUGGGGAAUAUUGCACAAUGGGGGAAACCCUGAUGCAGCGACGCCGCGUGAGCGAUGAAGUAUUUCGGUAUGUAAAGCUCUAUCAGCAGGGAAGAAAAUGACGGUACCUGACUAAGAAGCCCCGGCUAACUACGUGCCAGCAGCCGCGGUAAUACGUAGGGGGCAAGCGUUAUCCGGAUUUACUGGGUGUAAAGGGAGCGUAGACGGCUUUGCAAGCCAGAUGUGAAAGCCCGGGGCUCAACCCCGGGACUGCAUUUGGAACUGUGUGGCUAGAGUGUCGGAGGGGCAGGCGGAAUUCCUAGUGUAGCGGUGAAAUGCGUAGAUAUUAGGAGGAACACCAGUGGCGAAGGCGGCCUGCUGGACGAUGACUGACGUUGAGGCUCGAAAGCGUGGGGAGCAAACAGGAUUAGAUACCCUGGUAGUCCACGCCGUAAACGAUGACUUCUAGGUGUUGGGUGGCAAAGUCACUCGGUGCCGCAGCCGACGCAAUAAGUAGUACCAUCUUCGGAGGGCGUUAGCAUGAAUGAAACUCAAAGGAAUGGGCGGGGACCCGCACUAGCGGCGGAGCAUGGGCUUUAAUUUGAAGCGAUGUGUCGAGCGUUACCUCAUCUUUACAUCCCCAUGACAGCUCCGUCACGGGAGCGUUCCUACGGGACUGGGGAGACAGGUGGGGCAGGGUGGUGGUCAUCUGGGGUCGUGGGAGGGGGGGUGAAGUCCCGCAACGAGCGCCAUCUUUCUGUUUAGUAGCCAGCACGUUAGAUGGGCAGUCUAGAGAGGUUGUCAGGGAUGACAUGGAGGAAGGUGGGGAUGACGAUCAUAAUCAUGCGUGCCGCUCUAUGACUCAGGCCCCCCCGCGUGCUCCAAUGGUGUAUACAAAGGGAAGCGACCACGGGAGUGUAAGCGAAUCCCAAAAAUACCCUCUCAGUUCGGAUGGUCGUGUGCAACUCGACUACAUGAAGCGGGAAUCGCUAGUAAUCGAGAAUCAGAACGUCGCGGGGAAUACGUUCGCGGGUCUUGCACUCGCCGCCCGUCA
This 1396-nucleotide ribosomal RNA is filed under the name uncultured bacterium. RNAcentral's name for it is "16S ribosomal RNA". It matches the Rfam family "Bacterial small subunit ribosomal RNA". The record is from RNAcentral.